GAUCCUGGUUCAGAGUGAACGCUGGCGGCGUGCCUAAUACAUGCAAGUCGAACGGAGAUUAAAUAGCUUGCUAUUUAAUCUUAGUGGCGCACGGGUGAGUAAUGUAUAGUUAAUCUGCCCCAUGGUGGAGGGACAACAGUUAGAAAUGACUGCUAAUACUCCAUACUCCUUCUUAUCAUAAGUUAAAGUUCGGGGAAAGGUUUUUCGUCUAUGGGGAGUGAGGACUAUAUCGUAUCAGCUAGUUGGG
Molecule: ribosomal RNA, 247 nt
Filed under: uncultured bacterium
Lineage: Bacteria
Description: partial 16S ribosomal RNA
Rfam family: Bacterial small subunit ribosomal RNA
Source: RNAcentral